UAUGUCAAUCAUCGUUGACACUUCGGUACU
This 30-nucleotide small RNA is filed under the name Bombyx mori (domestic silkworm). Its description in RNAcentral is "ovarian small RNA-24013". The record is from RNAcentral. Lineage: Eukaryota; Metazoa; Arthropoda; Insecta; Lepidoptera; Bombycidae.